This 484-nucleotide ribosomal RNA is filed under the name uncultured bacterium. RNAcentral describes it as "partial 16S ribosomal RNA". It matches the Rfam family "Bacterial small subunit ribosomal RNA", at positions 30 to 507 of the family's 1533-position model. The record is from RNAcentral.
AUUGAACGCUGGCGGCAGGCCUAACACAUGCAAGUCGAGUGGAUGAAGGGAGCUUGCUCCUGGAUUCAGCGGCGGACGGGUGAGUAAUGCCUAGGAAUCUGCCUGGUAGUGGGGGAUAACGUCCGGAAACGGGCGCUAAUACCGCAUACGUCCUGAGGGAGAAAGAGGGGGAUCUUCGGACCUCACGCUAUCAGAUGAGCCUAGGUCGGAUUAGCUAGUUGGUGGGGUAAAGGCCUACCAAGGCGACGAUCCGUAACUGGUCUGAGAGGAUGAUCAGUCACACUGGAACUGAGACACGGUCCAGACUCCUACGGGAGGCAGCAGUGGGGAAUAUUGGACAAUGGGCGAAAGCCUGAUCCAGCCAUGCCGAGUGUGUGAAGAAGGUCUUCGGAUUGUAAAGCACUUUAAGUUGGGAGGAAGGGCAGUAAGUUAAUACCUUGCUGUUUUGACGUUACCAACAGAAUAAGCACCGGCUAACUUCGUG